Molecule: small nuclear RNA, 20 nt
Filed under: Arabidopsis thaliana (thale cress)
Lineage: Eukaryota; Viridiplantae; Streptophyta; Magnoliopsida; Brassicales; Brassicaceae
Description: snRNA_18365
Source: RNAcentral
GGGGAAAGGUUCCAUGUGAA